Molecule: long non-coding RNA, 1513 nt
Filed under: Sus scrofa (pig)
Lineage: Eukaryota; Metazoa; Chordata; Mammalia; Artiodactyla; Suidae
Description: lncRNA (ENSSSCG00060070531.1)
Source: RNAcentral
UGGGACCGCACCCCCUCUCGUCCUGGCUGCGUGGGCCCAGCUUUCCCUUGGCGCUGGAGACUCCGAGCCCGGCGGGUCCCAUGCUCCACGCGAGCAGAAUUCCCGCCGGUCUCCCGCCGGGGUGGCCAAAGGCGGUGGCGAGGAUGGCGGGCUCCGGGAGGCGCUCGGGCUCUGAGAAGCAGCUCAGUCCUGCGCUCCUCCCUCCGCAGUGAGGAGCCGGCAUUCCCGCGGGUCUCGGCGGCUGCGAGCGGGAAGCAGCGUGGGUCCCCGGCUCGGUUGCGGCGCGGCUGCUCACCUCGUCCGCCUCGCCUCCCGCAGCUUCCAUCUGGCACGGAGCUCUCCUCUGCGCGCCUCCUCGGCCCGUCUCGUUUUCCUUCUUUACCCUAUAGAACCCCCAGCGCAACUCCGUCGACCUCCAUGGCCUUGAGACAGUGUCCGGCGCGAGCAGAGUCGGACUGGCCCCGACUUCACGCCUCUCUCGGGCUCUCCUCCAGGGCAUUGCGGCCCAGAUGAGAAACUGAGUCUCCAGGAAGUUAAGUGACUUGCCCAAGAUCCAUGGAGCUGGGAUUCAAGCCUGGAUCUGCCUGAACCUUUCUGCCAAGACACGGAAUAGGAUCUCUCAUGGCUCUUGAGGAUGUGAUGGAUGGCUGUGAGGGCACAGAGGAGGCUCCCAUCUGGGCGAAUGACAACUAUAGGAUUUUCAUAUAAGUGGAACCAGGUCAGUCUGUGAAGGUCUUUAGAGGCUGCUCUGGGAUCCUGCCUUCUACUCCUCUGGCCAACAUAUGCCAAGGACCCAGAAGAAGAUGCAGAGGGUGCAGACCUGUAACAAUAGGAGGCGGUAGAACAAAAUGAAAGUGCAGAGAAAAGCUCGGAUAGCAGGAUCGGGAUCCAGAAAAGUCUCCAUAUGCUGGAGUGACAAAGUGAAUUUAGCAUGAUGAAAUGUCACAGGGAUGAAUGCUGGGGCCUAUCUCGACUACAGGAAAGAAUUGUAGAGAGGGACAGCAGCACAUGAGAAAGAGAUCUAGGAGUUCAAGGGCCGGUAAGUUCAGUCUGAGUUGAUGGGCUACAUUAAUAGAGGUAUGAGGUUUGAGUCAAGGGAGGGGGACCACCAUCCUGGUCCAGCCUGCUCUCUGCCUGGAGCAGUUUCUGUUGUACAUAGGUGGAGGGCAUGUGCUAUUUUCUGUUUUUUCAGCUCCUCUUCUUUUCUUUUGGUGGUGGUGGGGGCGUUCUUAGGGGAGCAGAACCCUUCUGGAGUUUGACCUUGGAUUCCAUCCAGGGCAACCCCCCAGAAUACCUUUGAAGGUGGAGAAGAAGCUGCAGAUUUUCUCACUUUUUUUGUGUGUGUGUAUGUCCACACCUGCAGCAUAUGGAAGUUUCCAGGCUGGGGGGUCCAACCAGAGCUGCAGUUGCAGCCUACAACACAGCCAUGGCAGUACCAGAUCUGAGCCACUUCUGCGAGCUACACUGUAGCUUGUGGCCACGCUGGAUCCUUAACCCACUGAGUGAGGCCAGG